UACGUAGGGGGCUAGCGUUGUCCGGAAUCAUUGGGCGUAAAGCGCGUGUAGGCGGUUCGGUAAGUCCGCUGUGAAAGUCGGGGGCUCAACCCUCGAAUGCCGGUGGAUACUGUCGGACUAGAGUACGGAAGAGGCGAGUGGAAUUCCUGGUGUAGCGGUGAAAUGCGCAGAUAUCAGGAGGAACACCGGUGGCGAAGGCGGGUCUCUGGGCCGUAACUGACGCUGAGGAGCGAAAGCGUGGGGAGCAAACAGG
This 253-nucleotide ribosomal RNA is filed under the name uncultured bacterium. RNAcentral describes it as "partial 16S ribosomal RNA". It matches the Rfam family "Bacterial small subunit ribosomal RNA", at positions 524 to 776 of the family's 1533-position model. The record is from RNAcentral.